RNAcentral lists this microRNA precursor (167 nucleotides) under Oryza brachyantha (malo sina). Its description in RNAcentral is "MIR812 microRNA precursor family". It matches the Rfam family "MIR812 microRNA precursor family", at positions 27 to 193 of the family's 205-position model. The record is from Rfam by way of RNAcentral. Lineage: Eukaryota; Viridiplantae; Streptophyta; Magnoliopsida; Poales; Poaceae.
UAUAAUUUUUGACUCUUUGUCUUAUUCAAAUUUUUUUACGAUUGAUAUUUUUGUUUUUAUUAGAUGAUAAAUCAUGAAUAGUACUUUACGUAUGACUAAUUUUUUUUAAUUUUCUAAAAUUUUUUUAAAUAAGACGGAUGGUCAAACGUUUGACACAGAAAUCGAAG